This 390-nucleotide long non-coding RNA is filed under the name Panax ginseng (ginseng). Its description in RNAcentral is "long non-coding RNA (PGIN_LNC016295)". Lineage: Eukaryota; Viridiplantae; Streptophyta; Magnoliopsida; Apiales; Araliaceae. The record is from RNAcentral.
UUCAAUACAUAUAUUUUUCUACUAGGAAGUUGCUGUUCUUUGCACUUUUGUUUUUGGGGUGGAUGCGUGUGGGUGGAACAAGUCCUUUUUGUAUAUUUAGAUAAUGUAGUAUUUCUUUAUAUGUUUUAUUAGUGUAGCACCAACAUAAAUUCCAUUGAUUGAUUACUGUGUGUCUCAUAUCAAUGACACAGAUAUUUACUGAAACAACCCGGGUCAAAUCUCGAGUCCGGAACAAAUCUUGGGUCAAAUCCCAAGUCCGAAUCGAAUCAAAUCCAUCCAAAUAAGGCCUCAAACCACUGGCCCAAUAGUAUCUUCUUGGGUCAUCUAGCCCACCACAGGCUCCCAAAAAGUCAUGACUUGAAGGUACUAUUGGUAGUUACUUAAUUCCUC